RNAcentral lists this small RNA (159 nucleotides) under Lactobacillaceae bacterium. RNAcentral's name for it is "6S RNA". The record is from RNAcentral. Lineage: Bacteria; Bacillati; Bacillota; Bacilli; Lactobacillales; Lactobacillaceae.
GGCGAGCUGUUUGACGCGUGAUAUUCCGCAGGUCAUCUGAGCCAACAUUUUGAAAAAGGGAAUUGUCACUGAAUAGACUGAGGUCUACUUAUUCACGAUGCCCACCUUAUUAUUUAUAAGGUUCGAAUAGACUGCAAUACACGGUCAAUUGGCCCCUCC